GGUCGAGAUUUGCCAUGCCAAUAGGUGUGGACAGAAGACAAGGCUGCUGCUAACUUUCCACACUUUCAAACUCUAUGAAGAAUUGAAUUGGGUCCCAUUCUUUUGGUAUCUUACAAUCUAGAGGUUUAAAUCAGUACAUCGUGCAAAACUUGUACAAAAGUCACCAACCCGACAGUGAGGAUUCAUCCUUGCAUAAAUGGAUAAAAAUGAAGAACAACAAUAGGCGCGCCAUGUUGAGGAAGCUCCAUCCAGAACGACAUAUACAUAAAUUGCUUUCAUGCCACAAACUUGGAUUAUCUGCAAGGCAAGCUGGGACCGGGCGCAACUGGAGCCAUGUUAGUUGAGUCGACCACACCAAAAGGGGGGCUUUGAUUUUCUGAAGAUGUGAUUGCAAGAUUAUCUACUAUGGUCCUCUAACAAAAUAAGAAUAUCUUCAUCGCUUGUUCCACCGUCAAUUGCGUACUGUAAUGCUGUUCUACCAUCUUGAUCCAUCGCUUGUGAAUCGGCCCCUCUGCAUAGAAACGCAAAACACAGAUAUGAGAUGUGUAUUUGCAUUUUUGCUGCUUUCCGGGAUCAUUCCCGGUCACCAAGCAAAACAGAGCUGCGAUGAUAUAUAGUGUCAUACUAGCAGUGAUUCACAUCAACCCUUUUGACGGAGCAAACAUGUAGUGCAAGAUCAAAUUCCUGAGUUAUCAUCAGGUUCUUGCAUACCUGGAGAGGAGAAGCUUGGCAUGCUGAUGUCUUCCUUUCAAAAUGCAGUGAUGAAGGGGUGUCCGACCCUUUGAAUCAGUCAUAUUUACACUAGAGCCAUACUGCAAUAGUAAUUCAACCAUCCCAACAUCUGCGACACGGCAUGCAAGAUGAAGCAAGGAGAAACCUUCACAACUUUCCUCCAUGUCAUCUGUGCGUGAACUUGUGCUAGCAGGGGAAAGGGGCCCUCUUGGAGAAACCUUGCAAGUGUUUACUGUAAUUCGAUCGAGUCCCCACAGGGAAAAGAAAGCCAAACGUGGUGGCAAUGUCGACAAAGUUUCUUUGUGAUCUUUCUUGAUAGGUCGUCGUCAGCCACUGAUGGAGGCCGCAGGCAGCAACUCGACGUCAGCAGAGGAGAGCAAGCUCCACCUGGUGUUCUGCACCGAGGAGGUGUGCCAGCAGCCGCCGAUGUCGGUGUGCUACCAGUCGGAGCUCGAAUGCCGGGAGGAAUGCGACCCCAAGUGCCAGUUGCAGGCAUCGCUUCUUGGUUCUGAGAACUGAGAUGGAAGGCUGUGCGAUUGCCAGUGUUGAGGGGAAUAAUGUGCUGACGAUGAUGCGCUUUUCAUCAUAAGGGAAGGGGGAUGAAGAAUGACGAGGAUACAGAGAAGCAAGCAACUUGAUUUACGAGCUUAGUAUACUGUAAUACAGCAAACAAAACCAAACAUCUAAUAAUAACCACUGAUGCUCACGAAGCAAAAUGAGGGGGCGCAAUGGCGCAUCAUGUUGCAGAGCCCCAGAAGGAUAUAUGCGGUCGGCUGCGUACGAAUCAUCAGCACCCUGCAUAUUCAGAAACAGAAAAAGAAACUGAGACAUACAUUUUUUAUUAAAAAAACAAUUUUGUUCUUCGACGUGAACUGUUUAAUAAAAGCAUUUUUUUAGUUUCUUUUUCGUUAUGCUUGUUCCUCUUGAAAAGAAGAACGCUAAACUUUUCUGAAGUCAUUUGCUGCGAGGUGAGUUUACUGACAAAUGGAUUAUGAGUGCCCUGUCAACUUGGUUUUCAGAAAGAAAACAAAAACUGUUGCUACCAUCUACUAUGGAAUGUUAGCUCAUCGUCUCCACUGCAAUUGGUAAGAGUACCCAGGAUAUCAUCUAUCUAUAAACAUAAAACAUGGCCCAACAGGCAUCACUAAGAAUCGGUCCCAGUCAAACUCUGCAUCUUAUGGAGCUUUGCAAGGCAGUUGAGUAAUACACGCACUGAAGCUGGGACUGGAUCUGAAAUUUACCUCUGUAUAAACCCUUUAUACAAAUCAGCGAGUCAGGUCCAGUUUCUGAAGAGUCUGGAAGGAAGCGACAAUGAUUGCUUUGCUUUCAUAUAUAAGUUUGUGUUGACAAAGGGUACAUUGCUAUCCAAAAGUAUGAGGCGUCGGCAGCAAUUCAACGAGGAGCCAAGGAGUGGGUAAUUUGGGGCACUUCUUCCCAUCGCACUCAACUCAAAAUCUCAGCUUCUGAAGCAACUGAAAAUAAGGGAGAGAAAAUGCAUUCAGAUAUAAUAAAUUGAGUUCUACUGAAUAUGCAUAGCAAGUCAAUCGGAAUAAAAGAAAUAAAGGAGAGAAAACGGUAGUGGACUGUAUGUUAGGAACUGAACGAGAUAUAUAGUUGGAGCGCAAUAAAUAGAUGCAGGAGCAUACGGACCUCAGCUACUUGAAGAGCCACCGACGCACCAGGGGAGCAACCUGCUCUUCGUAGACUUCUUUGUUUCAGGUUCAUCUGGUUGUGGAAUCCUUUUAUCUGGAAUCGAGAAGACCAAGUCGAAGUACUCCCCACCUUCCCUGCAACGUCUCUGCAGGUCCGGGCAGCCAUAUAUUUUCAGGGAUUUGAGGGCUGGGAGCCGCUGGAGGAGACCCUGCGGGAAUUUACUUAUCCCUGGACAAUUAUAGAUCUCCAAUUCCUCAAGAGAAGUGAGGCCGUCCAUCCCGCCCGGCAGCACUUUCAGCUCAGAGCACGACACCAACCCGAGAUGCCUCAGCUUUGCCAGAUCUCCAAGGUUUGAAGGCAGCGCCACCAAACUUCCGCAAUAGAAAAUAUCCAAUUCCUCAAGAGAAGUGAGGCCGUCCAUCCCGCCCGGCAGCACUUUCAGCUCAGAGCACGACACCAACCCGAGAUGCCUCAGCUUUGCCAGAUCUCCAAGGUUUGAAGGCAGCGCCACCAAACUAACGCACCGGCGAAUGUCCAUUUUCUCAAGUAAAGCGGGCAACUUUGGAAUCUCCAACAAGCUACGGCAGGAUCGUAUUUGUAACAUUUCCAACCGGGGCAGCGGAAGGAAUUCCUCAGAGGAUGAUCCCUUCCCCUCUAGUUUGCUGCACCAAUGAAUCUCUAGAGAUUGAAGGCGAACAAAACAUCGGAACUCCUCCACUGGCCAGCGGACAAUAUUGUCGCAUGAAAAGAUUUCCGAAUGUUCCACGAAUGCCAAACAAUCCCCAAGCCCCAGUUGUAAUUUGGAUGAGUUGAACAUUGAUAUGAAGCCAUUGUUACCUUGUACAGCCAAACGUCUAAGGGUGCGUAGAGGUCUUUGGCUUUGGUUUUGAUGGUCCUUCACAGGCAUCACCACGUUUACCAGCCUCCCAAACGUCAAGUGGAUAAGAGAUGGAAAAGAUCCCCACUCCAUGCUCAUAGGAACAAUACAAUCUGCAGACUUCUCCUCAAAAGAUGCAGAAGUGAGAGCUGGGGCCUCCGGAAGAUUUACAAUUUUGUUGCAAUUGGUGAUGGACAGCUCUUCUAGCUGGGGAAACAUCACCAAGCUAUUAGGUUCUCCCGCGCUGUUUUCUGCCCAUCUCUCAAACUCCGGCAGUUUAUGCAACCGCAUCAUCUUUAACUUGGGGAAAAUUUCCUGAGAGGUACUAUAUCCUGCAGCUUCCGCAUCAAUGUUCUUACAUAAUGUGGUCAGGCUGUUCAUGGAGCUUAAGUGCAAUUUCUCAAGAGGGGACAACAACCACACUAAUGGUAGAUCCUUGCAGCGUGGGCAGUCGGAAAUCCGUAGUUCUCUUAGACAACAAAACAUUUGGGGGUCUCUCAUCCAUUGUGAGAUUGCCAGGCCACCAUACCCAUGUAGCUCCAAUGUUUUGAGCUUAGUAUAAGGUACAAGCGAUUCCAGUACCUCUUCCUGAUUAUUACUUACAACCUCAUCAUGCAAUGGAUUGUAACCUACUUCACGUCCCCAAUGCAAAAACAGCCCAGUUAGAUUCUUUUUCUCAUGGAGAUUGGCCUUUGAUCCACUCUUUACUUUCCUCAAAUUGAACAGUUCCAACAUGUUUCCAAGUUGUCUCAGGCCUUGGAGCUCCUCGAUACCAAAGCCAUCUCCAGUGUCCACAAUAAAUGAUGUCAGUGUACAGAGGUUGUGUAGUAGACUAAGCUUUGGAGGCAUCCUCUCCAAUCUAAUGCAUCCCAACAGAUAAAUAUGGGUGAGCUGCCUCAUAGUUUGCAUGCCUUCCGGUAAAAAUUUUAGUUUUGUACAAAGAUUGAGCCACAAUGAUUGCAAGUUGUACAGCAUACAAAAUGAAUUCGGCAGUUCAACAAUUUCUGAUCCAGAAAUAUCAAGAUAUCUUAAAUGUGUUGUAUUUAUGAGCCUGUGGAUAACAUAUGCAUCUGGGCAAUGGAUCGCUCGUACUGAUUUCAGUUUUAACUCCUUAACAUCCUUGCACUUUGGGUUUUGAGCUAAUAAAGUUCGGAGAGAUAGCGAGGCUUUCAUUAAUCCAGUGAUUUCAUCCGAUUCAUCCCAUGGCAGCUGCAUGUGACGUACAUUAUUUACGGAGGCUUUCUGCUGAAUCAACUCUUCUGCAAAAGCACACUCAUCUGUGAUAUCUUUUGCUAGGUCAUGCAUUAAAUCAUGCAUUUUACAUCCAAUUUCCUUGCAUCGACGGAAAGGACCAUAUCCAUCAAAUACCUUGACAUUUACAUCUUGAAUAAAUGACCUCCACACCAACUCAUAGAAAACAAAUUCACCUUUUUGCACCAAAUCUAUAUCUCCCUCUGCUUGAAUAAAAUUGUUUGCCAUCCAUAGUUGGAUCAACUUUUCCUUAUCCAUCUCGUAGUCCUUAGGGAAAACCGCACAGAACGCAAAGCACUGCUUCAUUUCAGACGACAAGUGCAUGUAGCUCAGUUUUAGAAUGGACAGUAUUUCAAUGUUGCCACCCCUAUUGCUUUCUGCAAUGGCCUCCCAUUCCUUGAUUUGAUAUUUUGAGCUCAUCAAUCCACCCAUUGUCUUCAAAGCAAGAGGUAGCCCCUUGCACUUGUUGACAAUAAGUUUGCCGACUGUUAUGAACUCUUCUUGCUCUUCCACUCCUUUACAAAAUGCUUUCUUUGAGAACAACUCCCAUGAAUCCUCCUCACUCAGGCAUGCAAGCUCAUGGGUUGGAAGGGUGCCCAUGAUAGAGGCAACUUUUGGGAUUCGACUCGUGACAACUAUCAUGCUUCCCAGUCCACCAAUAGAAGAACAUAGUAGUGGCUUCAGGUCGUCAUCCCACUUGAGCUGGUCUUCAUUCCACACAUCAUCAAGAAUCAAUAGGAACCUUUUUCUACCAAUGACUUCCUGCAGUCUCUGUCGAAGCAGCUCCAUGGUGUCUGGCAGAUCACAUCUUCCAUUUGUAGCUAACUCGAUAACGGACUUCACAACAGCAGUGGCUUCAAAGUUUUCAGACACACAGUGCCACAUCCUGAACUCAAAGUGCUCCUGAACUUUGCGGUCAUUGUACACCAUCUUUGCUAGUGUGGUCUUACCCAAACCUCCCAUUCCAAUGAUGGGCAACACCUGCACACUGCGCUGAUCUUGCUGGUCGAGUAACAGCUUCACCACCACCGCCUUGUCGUCAUCUCUUCCAAAGAUUUCCGCAGACUCGUCGAGUGCAGAGUGCGUCUGCCGAUUCAGAGGUUGUGGCGCCUCUGGCUCGCGCUGAAGCAGGACAAAUUUCUGCAUGUCCUUCACCAGCUUGUCGAUCUUGCCCAGCACGUUCUUGAGGUCCCUGCUCGCCUUAUCACGGAACACAAGUCGAUUCCUUGAGCUGAAGAAAUCCAGUACCUUGCUGGUGGUAGAUCGAAGGCUCUGGGCCUCCCGACGCAGCGCCUCGUACUGGAAGUCAUCGAGGACGUCGUCGGCCUGGUACGCGGCGGCCCUGAGCUCCCUCAUCCACCCCUUGACGGCGCGGCCGGCCUCGGUCUCCGCCUCCGCCUUCGCCUCGGCGUCGGCCAGCAGGGACUGCACGUACAGCAGCUUGAGCUCCAGGUCGCGGCGGUCGUCGUCGACGCCCCACAUGGCGGUGACCUUCUGGACGAGCGCGUCGGCGGCCUUGCCGAGCACGCCGCGCACCACGGGGAGGAGCAGCGUCUCAGCCAUGCUGGGCGGCGCCCUUGCCGGGAUGGAUCUCACUUCUCAGCAGGCUGCAGGCUGCGUGCGCGCCGUCCGCCGUGGGGAGCGAUAGGCAGAGCCGGGGAAUGGUGGUCGAGGCUUCAAUCGGGAACUGGAAGAGAGCUACUGUGCUGGCUGCUGGAGUGCUGGGCCUCCCUCUCGUCGUCGUCGUCUCAACGAGCGCGUGAAAUGAAAGCUUGUGGGUCUUUUUUGUAAAAAGAAAACCUAGUGGGCCUUUCAAUCAAUCAAUAAAGACAAGGGAAUAAAGUAGUGCGCGUGACGUUUCGCUGCAGUUGGCAGCAAUGAUCCACCUAAAUUUAGCAAACCUUAGGUCUGCCAGUGUCAUGUGAGAAAAAAAGUAAGAAAUGCAAAAUUAAACUGCCUAACUUCUGUAGGGAUUAUGCAGUUUUCUUUCAACCUUUUUGUUCUUUGCAACGUAUUCUGUUUGAACAUUUGUAAGGGAAUAUGGGAGCCUUCACGAGGGUCCUGCAUAAUGCAUCUGCAUUUGUACAAUGUUUCACGAAAACAAAACUCUAUGAAAAGAUCCCUCUGAAAAUAAUGCAAUCUAUUUUGAUUGAGCAAGGCACAAUUGCCUUAUAUGUCCACACGUAGAUCACAAGGGCACAUCUCGAUAUGUACAAUCAUCUUUCAUCAGAAGGGCAGCUACUUCAUGAAGAAAGAUGACCAACUCCAUUUACAAGCUUACUAUACUAUACAUCAUCUGCAAACAAAACCAAACCGCUUGCCAGAUGAUUAAAUAAGGACCACUGAUCCUAAAGAAGAAAAAAAUGGGUAAAAAUGAAGAACAAAAAAAUGGGUAAGUCAGUAUCAAGCAGCCUAGCGCUGACACUGCUACAGUAUUGUGUCCGUAGUUCGUGGGCUGUGUGAGCCUCUGGAGUAUAUUCAUGCUCCAUUUUGUUUAUGAAGGUUUACAUAGGCCUUUCUCGUGUUCUUGCGGAAUGAAGUUUGGUCUCCAUGCACAUGACCCUAGAGCGUCCAUGCCUACAGCGUCAACCCUGUAUAAACUGAAGGUUCCAUAGUUAGAUCAUCAGUGCCAGCAUUUUCUUUAUUCCUGUUGCUUGCUUUAUUUUUUUUGGGUCGAGAUUUGCCAUGCCAAUAGGUGUGGACAGAAGACAAGGCUGCUGCUAACUUUCCACACUUUCAAACUCUAUGAAGAAUUGAAUUGGGUCCCAUUCUUUUGGUAUCUUACAAUCUAGAGGUUUAAAUCAGUACAUCGUGCAAAACUUGUACAAAAGUCACCAACCCGACAGUGAGGAUUCAUCCUUGCAUAAAUGGAUAAAAAUGAAGAACAACAAUAGGCGCGCCAUGUUGAGGAAGCUCCAUCCAGAACGACAUAUACAUAAAUUGCUUUCAUGCCACAAACUUGGAUUAUCUGCAAGGCAAGCUGGGACCGGGCGCAACUGGAGCCAUGUUAGUUGAGUCGACCACACCAAAAGGGGGGCUUUGAUUUUCUGAAGAUGUGAUUGCAAGAUUAUCUACUAUGGUCCUCUAACAAAAUAAGAAUAUCUUCAUCGCUUGUUCCACCGUCAAUUGCGUACUGUAAUGCUGUUCUACCAUCUUGAUCCAUCGCUUGUGAAUCGGCCCC
This 7694-nucleotide long non-coding RNA is filed under the name Panicum hallii. RNAcentral's name for it is "long non-coding RNA (PHAL_LNC000671)". The record is from RNAcentral. Lineage: Eukaryota; Viridiplantae; Streptophyta; Magnoliopsida; Poales; Poaceae.